RNAcentral lists this ribosomal RNA (450 nucleotides) under uncultured bacterium. RNAcentral describes it as "bacterial SSU rRNA". It matches the Rfam family "Bacterial small subunit ribosomal RNA", at positions 354 to 796 of the family's 1533-position model. The record is from RNAcentral.
GUGGGGAAUAUUGGACAAUGGGCGAAAGCCUGAUCCAGCCAUGCCGCGUGUGUGAAGAAGGUCUUCGGAUUGUAAAGCACUUUAAGUUGGGAGGAAGGGCAGUAAGUUAAUACCUUGCUGUUUUGACGUUACCGACAGAAUAAGCACCGGCUAACUUCGUGCCAGCAGCCGCGGUAAUACGAAGGGUGCAAGCGUUAAUCGGAAUUACUGGGCGUACAGCGCGCGUAGGUGGUUUUGUAAGUUGGAGGUGAAAUCCCCGGGAUCAACCUGGGAACUGCCUCCAAAACUGCAUGACUAGAGUACGGUAGAGGGUAGUGGAAUUGCCUGUGUAGCGGUGAAAUGCGUAGAUAUAGGAAGGAACACCAGUGGCGAAGGCGACUACCUGGACGGAUACUGACACUGAGGUGCGAAAGCGUGGGGAGCAAACAGGAUUAGAAACCCCUGUAGUCC